Molecule: small RNA, 553 nt
Filed under: Pongo abelii (Sumatran orangutan)
Lineage: Eukaryota; Metazoa; Chordata; Mammalia; Primates; Hominidae
Description: retained intron
Source: RNAcentral
AUGACUCAGAGCCUCACUAAGGCCCGAUGCCUUCACUGACUUCGGCCCUCAGGGUUCCCCUAACCCCCUAACUGGCAGGCCCGCCCUACCGUGCACCUCUAGGCAUCUCUGCUUAAUGGGCCCUGCUCCACCGGAAUCCCUUUGUGGAGACUGAGGUCUGUGAGGCAAGGUUAGAUAUUUGGGAACGAGGUUAUGUAGCUUUCUUUCUCUUGACCAACUUUGUUUUUGCAGCAGCUGAGAAGGAGAAGGAAAUGGACCCUUUUCAUUAUGAUUACCAGACCCUGAGGAUUGGGGGACUGGUGUUCGCUGUGGUCCUCUUCUCGGUUGGGAUCCUCCUUAUCUUAAGUCGCAGGUGCAAGUGCAGUUUCAAUCAGAAGCCCCGGGCCCCAGGAGAUGAGGAAGCCCAGGUGGAGAACCUCAUCACCGCCAAUGCAACAGAGCCCCAGAAAGCAGAGAACUAAAGUGCAGCCAUCGGGUGGAAGCCUCUGGAACCUGAAGGCCGCUGCUUGAACCUUUGGAUGCAAAUGUCGAUGCUUAAGAAAACCGGCCACUU